GGACCCGCACAAGUAGUGGAGCAUGUGGUUUAAUUCGAAGAUACGCGCAGAACCUUACCAACACUUGACAUGUUCGUCGCGACUUUAAGAGAUUAAAGUUUUCGGUUCGGCCGGACGAAACACAGGUGCUGCAUGGCUGUCGUCAGCUCGUGUCGUGAGAUGUUGGUUAAGUCCCGCAACGAGCGCAACCCUCACUUUUAGUUGCCAUCAUUUAGUUGGGCACUCUGAAAGAACUGCCAGUGAUAAGCUGGAGGAAGGUGGGGUAUGACGUCAAGUCCUCAUGGCCCUUACGUGUUGGGCUACACACGUGCUACAAUGGUAUUUACAGUGGGUUAAUCCCCAAAAGGAUGUCU
This 353-nucleotide ribosomal RNA is filed under the name uncultured bacterium. RNAcentral's name for it is "bacterial SSU rRNA". It matches the Rfam family "Bacterial small subunit ribosomal RNA", at positions 917 to 1288 of the family's 1533-position model. The record is from RNAcentral.